AGAGUUUGAUCCUGGCUCAGAUUGAACGCUGGCGGCAUGCCUAACACAUGCAAGUCGAACGAGAAAGUUCCUUCGGGAGCGAGUACAGUGGCGGACGGGUGAGUAACGCAUGGGAAUCUGCCCAGUAGUGGGGAAUAACCCGGGGAAACUCGGGCUAAUACCGCAUACGUCCUACGGGAGAAAGCGGGGGAUCUUCGGACCUCGCGCUACUGGAUGAGCCCAUGUCAGAUUAGCUUGUUGGUGGGGUAAUGGCCUACCAAGGCAACGAUCUGUAGCUGGUCUGAGAGGACGAUCAGCCACACUGGGACUGAGACACGGCCCAGACUCCUACGGGAGGCAGCAGUGGGGAAUAUUGGACAAUGGGCGAAAGCCUGAUCCAGCAAUGCCGCGUGUGUGAAGAAGGCCUGCGGGUUGUAAAGCACUUUCAUCAGGGACGAAAAACCCGGGGCGAAUACCCCCGAGCCUUGACUUAACCUGAACAAGAAGCACCGGCUAACUCCGUGCCAGCAGCCCGCGGUAAUACGGAGGGUGCGAGCGUUAAUCGGAAUUACUGGGCGUAAAGCGCACGUAGGAGGCGAGAUCAGUCAGAUGUGAAAUCCCCGGGCUCAACCUGGGAAUUGCAUUUGAUACUUGUCUCGCUAGA
Molecule: ribosomal RNA, 643 nt
Filed under: uncultured bacterium
Lineage: Bacteria
Description: bacterial SSU rRNA
Rfam family: Bacterial small subunit ribosomal RNA
Source: RNAcentral